RNAcentral lists this ribosomal RNA (468 nucleotides) under uncultured bacterium. RNAcentral's name for it is "partial 16S ribosomal RNA". It matches the Rfam family "Bacterial small subunit ribosomal RNA", at positions 28 to 507 of the family's 1533-position model. The record is from RNAcentral.
GACGAACGCUGGCGGCGUGCUUAACACAUGCAAGUCGAACGGAAAGGCCCUGCUUUUUUGGGGUGCUCGAGUGGCGAACGGGUGAGUAACACGUGAGUAACCUGCCCUUUACGUUGUGAUAACUUCAGGAAACUGGGGCUAAUACCUGCUAGGAGCUCCUGCUGCAUGGUGGGGGUUGGAAAGUUUCGGCGGUUGGGGAUGGACUCGCGGCUUAUCAGCUUGUUGGUGGGGUAGUGGCUUACCAAGGCUUUGACGGGUAGCCGGCAUGAGAGGGUAAACGGCCACAUUGCGACUGAGAUACGCCCCAGACUCGUACGGGAGGCAGCAGUGGGGAAUAUUGUACAGUGGGCGGAAGCCUGAUGCAGAAACGCCGCGUGCGGGAUGACGGCCUUCGGGUUGUAAACCGCUGUCGCCUGUGACGAAGCGUGAGUGACGGUAAUGGGUAAAGAAGCACCGGCUAACUACGUG